CUACAGAGGGUGCGAGCGUUAAUCGGAAUUACUGGGCGUAAAGCGCGCGUAGGCGGCUACUUAAGUCAGAUGUGAAAUCCCCGGGCUCAACCUGGGAACUGCAUCUGAUACUGGGUAGCUAGAGUUUAGGAGAGGGAAGUAGAAUUUCAGGUGUAGCGGUGGAAUGCAUAGAGAUCUGAAGGAAUACCAGUGGCGAAGGCGGCUUCCUGGCCUAAAACUGACGCUGAGGUGCGAAAGCGUGGGUAGCAAACGGGAUUAGAAACCCUAGUAGUCC
RNAcentral lists this ribosomal RNA (274 nucleotides) under uncultured bacterium. RNAcentral describes it as "partial 16S ribosomal RNA". It matches the Rfam family "Bacterial small subunit ribosomal RNA", at positions 523 to 796 of the family's 1533-position model. The record is from RNAcentral.